This 434-nucleotide ribosomal RNA is filed under the name uncultured Lachnospiraceae bacterium. Its description in RNAcentral is "partial 16S ribosomal RNA". It matches the Rfam family "Bacterial small subunit ribosomal RNA", at positions 341 to 792 of the family's 1533-position model. The record is from RNAcentral. Lineage: Bacteria; Bacillati; Bacillota; Clostridia; Lachnospirales; Lachnospiraceae.
ACGGGAGGCAGCAGUGGGGAAUAUUGCACAAUGGGGGAAACCCUGAUGCAGCGACGCCGCGUGAGUGAAGAAGUAUUUCGGUAUGUAAAGCUCUAUCAGUAGGGAAGAAAAUGACGGUACCUAACUAAGAAGCCCCGGCUAACUACGUGCCAGCAGCCGCGGUAAUACGUAGGGGGCAAGCGUUAUCCGGAUUUACUGGGUGUAAAGGGAGCGCAGACGGCAAAGCAAGUCUGAUGUGAAAUGCGGGGGCUCAACCCCUGAACUGCAUUGGAAACUGUUUAGCUAGAGUGCAGGAGAGGUAAGUGGAAUUCCUAGUGUAGCGGUGAAAUGCGUAGAUAUUAGGAGGAACACCAGUGGCGAAGGCGGCUUACUGGACGAUAACUGACGUUGAGGCUCGAAAGCGUGGGGAGCAAACAGGAUUAGAUACCCUGGUA